Molecule: ribosomal RNA, 504 nt
Filed under: uncultured bacterium
Lineage: Bacteria
Description: partial 16S ribosomal RNA
Rfam family: Bacterial small subunit ribosomal RNA
Source: RNAcentral
AUUGAACGCUGGCGGCAGGCCUAACACAUGCAAGCCGAACGGUAGCACAGAGAGCUUGCUCUCGGGUGACGAGUGGCGGACGGGUGAGUAAUGUCUGGGAAACUGCCCGAUGGAGGGGGAUAACUACUGGAGACGGUAGCUAAUACCGCAUAACGUCGCAAGACCAAAGUGGGGGACCUUCGGGCCUCACACCAUCGGAUGUGCCCAGAUGGGAUUAGCUAGUAGGUGGGGUAAGGGCUCACCUAGGCGACGAUCCCUAGCUGGUCUGAGAGGAUGACCAGCCACACUGGAACUGAGACACGGGCCAGACUCCUACGGGAGGCAGCAGUGGGGAAUAUUGCACAAUGGGCGCAAGCCUGAUGCAGCCAUGCCGCGUGUAUGAAGAAGGCCUUCGGGUUGUAAAGUACUUUCAGCGGGGAGGAAGGCGGUGAAGUUAAUAACUUCACCGAUUGACGUUACCCGCAGAAGAAGCACCGGCUAACUCCGUGCCAGCCGCCGCAGUAA